RNAcentral lists this ribosomal RNA (253 nucleotides) under uncultured bacterium. RNAcentral describes it as "partial 16S ribosomal RNA". It matches the Rfam family "Bacterial small subunit ribosomal RNA", at positions 524 to 776 of the family's 1533-position model. The record is from RNAcentral.
UACGGAGGGAGCUAGCGUUGUUCGGAAUUACUGGGCGUAAAGCGCGCGUAGGCGGCCUUGCAAGUUAGAGGUGAAAGCCCGGAGCUCAACUCCGGAACUGCCUUUAAAGCUGCAUAGCUUGAAUCCGGGAGAGGUGAGUGGAAUUCCGAGUGUAGAGGUGAAAUUCGUAGAUAUUCGGAAGAACACCAGUGGCGAAGGCGGCUCACUGGACCGGUAUUGACGCUGAGGCGCGAAAGCGGGGGGAGCAAACAGG